Molecule: long non-coding RNA, 263 nt
Filed under: Elaeis guineensis (African oil palm)
Lineage: Eukaryota; Viridiplantae; Streptophyta; Magnoliopsida; Arecales; Arecaceae
Description: long non-coding RNA (EGUI_LNC057785)
Source: RNAcentral
GGGAUGCCCGAGUCAGAUAAGGAAAUCUAAGUGGACGCCUUAUGCAACAUAGGGCAGAUAGAUGGGGCACCAACACUUGGCACCCCUUAGGGUUUUCUUGCACAAGAGGGGGGGUAUAGCCCCUCUCUCUCUCCUUCCAUACCCAGCCACAAGAGGGGGCAAGCUCCUCUAACAUUAUCCAAGGGGUUGGCGCCCCUUGAUCUUGCCAAAAAGGGAGGAAGGUGCCACCCUUCUUUCUAAUAAUUCCAUACACAAUGAGGGGA